RNAcentral lists this long non-coding RNA (1175 nucleotides) under Aotus nancymaae (Ma's night monkey). Its description in RNAcentral is "lncRNA (ENSANAG00000038842.1)". Lineage: Eukaryota; Metazoa; Chordata; Mammalia; Primates; Aotidae. The record is from RNAcentral.
AGGACCGAGAAGAAAAGAAAAAGGGGGAGGGGGGUGAGGGGCGUAGGGCAGGAUGAAGGAAAAAAAGCCGGGAGAGGGAGAAAAGAAAUCUUCCUUUUGCAAAAGGGGGCAUAAUGUGGCUCAGAGGUUGCCAAAGCAAAAGGUUUUGCUUUAUUUUGUUUUUUGCAACCGAGGCGUUCGGGGUGGGGCUGGCUCGAGGGAAGGGUGGAUGGGGAGAAGGUCACUGUGUUACCGCAUGGCGAGAUUUAUUUAUUCCUUUGGAUCAUUUCGGUUUCUCACCGGAUGGCUUUGAUCCUGGACUCCUAAAAAUAUUUUUGAAAGACCACCCACCCCACCCCCGCAUCGUCCUACUGACUAACUCCUCGGAACUCUCGAGGUUGCGCAUAAACCAUUAGAUUUUUUUUUCUAGAACAGCCCCAUUCUCUGCCCUGGGGGAGCCGGGAGAAUGUGCAGCUUCAGUCCUCCAGCUCGGCGGAGCCUCCCGUGCAGAGCCUAGCGCGAUUCGCGCUAUCAUUACCCCUACAAAGCGCGGGCCAGACCAAGCCCCUUUCUAAUGCACCAUUUUCGACUGAGAACAUUUUGGCAAGAAACUUCCAAGUCAGCCUGCAAAUGCAGACGCCUCCUGGGUCCUGGCUUUAUCUCCAGGGAAAGUUCCAUUUUAAGAACCAGAUGCCAACAUUCCCGGACAGUUUAUGGCAUCCGGAUCCCUCAAGGGUGCUCAUCUGCAGUUGAGAGCCUAGUAAAUGGCAUUAACAAAGCGUUUCACGGACUACAACGGCUUAACAGUGGCUCCUCCCCUGCCCUGCGACCAUCCGGGCCGUCAUUCCUUCCAGGAUUCCCGCGCGGUUCUGUGUGCCCAGAGCGCGAGCGCCAGGUAGAACUCCGUGCUACAUCCAAUUGCUUGCAACCUUCCGAUUCCCUUUUAGGGAGAUCAUUUUUCAGCUUGGCUCAAAGAAAGCGAAGUUUGGCGGAGGGUCCGAUUUAACGACGGGCACUGCAAAUAUUUUGUUACAAAUGCUGUGAAGUGUCCCGAUUUGUGGCCGCGUUCAGCUUUCACAAAGGAUUUUCCUGUGACUUUUGUUCCGGUCACCAAAUUAAAAAAGAAAAUUAACUUGAGCAAGAGAUAAGGUCUUGGAAAACAAUCUCGGGCCGCCCGCGAGCUGGCGGGAGCAGGG